CACGCCGCGUGUAUGAUGAAGGUCUUCGGAUUGUAAAGCUCUGUCUUUGGGGAAGAAUGAUACGGUUGCCAAUAUUGAGUGCACAUCACGGUACCCUACGACGACGCCCCGGCUAACUACGUGCCAGCAGCCGCCGUAAUACAUAGGGGGCAAGCGUUGUCCAGAAUUAUUGUUCGUAGAGGGCGCGUAUGCGGAUACUCAACUCCAGUGUGAAAUAUCAAGGCUCAACCCUGAAAGUGCAUCGGAAACUGGGUAUCUCCAAGACUGGAGAGGAAAGUGGAAUUCCUCAUGUAGAGCACAAAUGCCUAAAUGUACGUACUAACACCUGUGUCAAACGCAACUUUCUGGACUGGAGCUGACGCUAAGGCUCGAAACCCUGGGGAGCCAACCCGAUUACAUACCCUGCUAGUCCACGCUGUAAACGAUGACUGCUAUGCGUAGAGGGUAUCGACCCCUUCUGUGCCG
Molecule: ribosomal RNA, 465 nt
Filed under: uncultured bacterium
Lineage: Bacteria
Description: bacterial SSU rRNA
Rfam family: Bacterial small subunit ribosomal RNA
Source: RNAcentral